CCCUCCAUUCCCUGCAUAUCCAUGUGUUGAUCUAAAGUCUCUUAAACGCCACAUUCGUAUCUGCCUCCACCACCACCGCUAGCAGUGAGUUCCAAGCCCCCACCACCCUCUGUGUACAAAACUUGCCCCGUUCAACACCAAUUAUGCCCUCAAUAUUUGAUAUCUCCAACCUAGGAAAAAGGUUCUGACUGUCUACGUUAUCUACAGUAUUUCUUUCUUCCACAUUAUUCCACCUAACGUUUGCUCCAUACCCGAGUUACUGCUGUUAUUUCUUACACCCUGUCACCUUGUGUCCAUAACUCUAUUGUCAGUGAUACACGAUGUGUGAACGGUUAAUUCUACACGGCCAUCGUAGAGUCUGUCCUCACCUUCUCCAUCAUGGUCUGGUUUGGCUCAGCCACCAAGCACGACACCUGGAGGCUGCAGCGAAUCGUCCGAUCAGCUGAGAAGGUUAUUGGCUGCAACCUUCCCUCCAUUGAUGAACUGUACGCUGCAAGGGCCACGAAGCGAGUGGAUCAAACUACGCCAUUGGAUCCUUUAUGCCGGGAAAGUCUGUUUGAUCGCAAUCCACAGGAAAUGAAGAUGAGGUAGCACCGUGGUAGAGUUGCUGCCUCAAAGCGCCAGAGACUAGGAUUCGAUCCUGACCUCAGUGGGGAAGUCUUCACAGUCAGAAGCCACAGAACACAAGUUGACACAGCGUUCAAGCUCAAUGAAUAACUGAGAGUUUCUAAGAUCGAUGGUAAUUGUGGAAAGUAGAAUGAGUUCAAGCCAAACAUGUAGUUGACAGGAACAAUGAAACAGUGGUCGAAUAAUUUAUUAUGGACAAGAAAACUAAUAUUGAAGGAUGUUCAGCCAACGACAGUAUAACCGAUGAAGAGUGUAGUGAACCUGAAGAUAUAUUCAAGCAAAGUUCAUGUAAGAUGGACGAUGUCUUAUGUCAACAUGGAGAACAAAUAGAAUUGGAGUAGUUAGACCAAUCAACCAACUUGAAUAAAGACUGCCUCGGAGAAUUACAUUCAGACUUGAAAUCGUACUUGGGCAUGCUAUUGAAAGGAAAAGGUCUGCAGGUAUUACAAGCUAUAAUGUCAUUAUCAAGUCAAGAGUGUUUUAUUGUCAUGUGUCCCAGAUAGAACAAUGACAUUCUUACUUGCAACAGCACAACAGAAAGUGUAAACAGAGUACACUGUAAACAAUAUAAUAAAUGAGAAAAAGAAAGUUAUGUCACAUAUAUGUAACAUAUAUAUUGUGCAUAUAUAUAUACACACAGAUGCAC
This is a long non-coding RNA of Leucoraja erinaceus (little skate), 1273 nucleotides long. RefSeq lists it as uncharacterized. NCBI's taxonomy places the organism in Eukaryota, Metazoa, Chordata, Chondrichthyes, Rajiformes, Rajidae. The transcript has 3 exons. The record is from RefSeq and is a predicted model, not a curated record.